Molecule: ribosomal RNA, 301 nt
Filed under: uncultured bacterium
Lineage: Bacteria
Description: partial 16S ribosomal RNA
Rfam family: Bacterial small subunit ribosomal RNA
Source: RNAcentral
CAGCAGCCGCGGGAAUACGAAGGGGGCUAGCGUUGCUCGGAAUGACUGGGCGUAAAGGGCGCGUAGGCGGUUUGGACAGUCAGAUGUGAAAUUCCUGGGCUUAACCUGGGGGCUGCAUUUGAUACGUUCAGGCUUGAGUGUGGAAGAGGGUCGUGGAAUUCCCAGUGUAGAGGUGAAAUUCGUAGAUAUUGGGAAGAACACCGGUGGCGAAGGCGGCGACCUGGUCCAUUACUGACGCUCAUGCACGAAAGCGUGGGGAGCAAACAGGAUUAGAUACCCCCGUAGUCCCUGUCUCUUAUAC